Molecule: ribosomal RNA, 912 nt
Filed under: uncultured bacterium
Lineage: Bacteria
Description: bacterial SSU rRNA
Rfam family: Bacterial small subunit ribosomal RNA
Source: RNAcentral
ACGCUGGCGGCGUGCCUAAUACAUGCAAGUCGAACGAGAGCGACCGGUGCUUGCAUUGGUCAAUCUAGUGGCGAACGGGUGAGUAACACGUGGGUAACCUGCCCAUCAGAGGGGGAUAACAUCCGGAAACGGAUGCUAAAACCGCAUAGGUCUUCGAACCGCAUGGUUUGAAGAGGAAAAGAGGCGCAAGCUUCUGCUGAUGGAUGGACCCGCGGUGCAUUAGCUAGUUGGUGAGGUAACGGCUCACCAAGGCCGUGAUGCAUAGCCGACCUGAGAGGGUGAUCGGCCACAUUGGGACUGAGACACGGCCCAAACUCCUACGGGAGGCAGCAUUAGGGAAUCUUCCGCAAUGGACGCAAGUCUGACGGAGCAACGCCGCGUGAGUGAAGAAGGUUUUCGGAUCGUAAAACUCUGUUGUUAGAGAAGAACAAGUGCUAGAGUAACUGUUAGCGCCUUGACGGUAUCUAACCAGAAAGCCACGGCUAACUACGUGCCAGCAGCCGCGGUAAUACGUAGGUGGCAAGCGUUGUCCGGAUUUAUUGGGCGUAAAGCGAGCGCAGGCGGUUCCUUAAGUCUGAUGUGAAAGCCCCCGGCUCAACCGGGGAGGGUCAUUGGAAACUGGGGAACUUGAGUGCAGAAGAGGAGAGUGGAAUUCCAUGUGUAGCGGUGAAAUGCGUAGAUAUAUGGAGGAACACCAGUGGCGAAGGCGACUCUCUGGUCUGUAACAGACGCUGAGGCUCGAAAGCGUGGGUAGCAAACAGGAUUAGAUACCCUGGUAGUCCACGCCGUAAACGAUGAGUGCUAAGUGUUGGAGGGUUUCCGCCCUUCAGUGCUGCAGUUAACGCAUUAAGCACUCCGCCUGGGGAGUACGACCGCAAGGUUGAAACUCAAAGGAAUUGACGGGGACCCGCA